Molecule: ribosomal RNA, 380 nt
Filed under: uncultured eukaryote
Lineage: Eukaryota
Description: partial 18S ribosomal RNA
Rfam family: Eukaryotic small subunit ribosomal RNA
Source: RNAcentral
CAAUAGCGUAUAUUAAAGUUGUUGCAGUUAAAAAGCUCGUAGUUGGAUUUGUGGCGUACGACGGGCUCCGGGCACUUGUUGUCUGAGUAGCUUGUCGUUGCCAUCCUUGGGUGGAACCUGUGUGGCAUUAGGUUGUCGUGCAGGGGAUGCCCAUCUUUUACUGUGAAAAAAUUAGAGUGUUCAAAGCAGGCUUAUGCCGUUGAAUAUAUUAGCAUGGAAUAAUAAGAUAGGACUUUGUCGCUAUUUUGUUGGUUUGCGCGAUAAGGUAAUGAUUAAUAGGGACAGUUGGGGGUAUUCGUAUUCCAUUGUCAGAGGUGAAAUUCUUGGAUUUACGCAAGACAAACAGCUGCGAAAGCGUCUGCCAAGGAUGUUUUCAUUAA